UGGUUACGAUAGAACUCUUGAAAUCGGAGCUCAAAAAAACUCCCAAGGACUAUAUUCGUGAUUCGAGCGGCGGAAGUAUUUGCCGUGCCAGCUUUUUUUUUCACGACUGUCACUGACGAGAGAUGAAAUUAGAUCAGAAACCAGAAGACUCAUCGCACUUUUUUCGAACGAAAACUUUCCGAAAAUCCCGUUUCUGCGACCACUGCAAAUUGCCCAUCGAUUACCAAGGCAGCUCUUGCAAAGCCUGCAAACUAACGUGUCACAAAGAAUGUGAAUCAAAGGUA
Uloborus diversus is the source of this 284-nucleotide long non-coding RNA. RefSeq lists it as uncharacterized. The transcript has 3 exons. The record is from RefSeq and is a predicted model, not a curated record. Lineage: Eukaryota; Metazoa; Arthropoda; Arachnida; Araneae; Uloboridae.